GAUCCUGGCUCAGGAUGAACGCUGGCGGCGUGCUUAACACAUGCAAGUCGAACGAAGCAUUUAAGAUUGACUCUUCGGAUGAUUUCUUUUGUGACUUAGUGGCGGACGGGUGAGUAACGCGUGGGUAACCUGCCUCACACAGGGGGAUAACAGUUAGAAAUGGCUGCUAAUACCGCAUAACCCGAUAGGAUCGCAUGAUCCAGACGGAAAAGAUUUAUCGGUGUGAGAUGGACCCGCGU
RNAcentral lists this ribosomal RNA (239 nucleotides) under uncultured bacterium. RNAcentral's name for it is "partial 16S ribosomal RNA". It matches the Rfam family "Bacterial small subunit ribosomal RNA", at positions 15 to 236 of the family's 1533-position model. The record is from RNAcentral.